CACAGCCGCGGUAAUACGUAGGUGGCAAGCGUUGUCCGGAAUUAUUGGGCGUAAAGGGCUCGCAGGCGGUUUCUUAAGUCUGAUGUGAAAUCCCUCGGCUUAACCAAGGAAGUGCAUCCGAAACUGCAGAGCUUGAGUACUUAAGAGGAUCGCGGAAUUCCCGGUGUAGAGGUGAAAUUCGUAGAUAUCGGGAGGAACACCAGUGGCGAAGGCGGCGAUCUGGGAAGAUACUGACGCUGAGGUGCGAGAGCGUGGGGAGCAAACAGGAUUAGAUACCCCCGUAGUCCCUGUCUCUUAUACC
This 301-nucleotide ribosomal RNA is filed under the name uncultured bacterium. Its description in RNAcentral is "partial 16S ribosomal RNA". It matches the Rfam family "Bacterial small subunit ribosomal RNA", at positions 510 to 808 of the family's 1533-position model. The record is from RNAcentral.